Small nuclear RNA from Salvia splendens (bonfire salvia), 119 nucleotides. RefSeq annotates it as U5 spliceosomal RNA. The record is from RefSeq and is a predicted model, not a curated record. NCBI's taxonomy places the organism in Eukaryota, Viridiplantae, Streptophyta, Magnoliopsida, Lamiales, Lamiaceae. The transcript has a single exon.
AGCCGUGCGUCGAGCACACAGCGAACUAUUCUUUCGCCUUUUACUAAAGAAUACCGUGUGCUCGUUGCUAAUUAAGCGGCAUACGUUUAUUUUUGGAGGGUUGUCUUUUAUAGGACAAC